GACGAACGCUGGCGGCGUGCUUAACACAUGCAAGUCGAACGGAAAGGCCCUGCUUUUGUGGGGUGCUCGAGUGGCGAACGGGUGAGUAACACGUGAGUAACCUGCCCUUGACUUUGGGAUAACUUCAGGAAACUGGGGCUAAUACCGGAUAGGAGCUCCUGCUGCAUGGUGGGGGUUGGAAAGUUUCGGCGGUUGGGGAUGGACUCGCGGCUUAUCAGCUUGUUGGUGGGGUAGUGGCUUACCAAGGCUUUGACGGGUAGCCGGCCUGAGAGGGGGACCGGCCACAUUGGGACUGAGAUACGGCCCAGACUCCUACGGGAGGCAGCAGUGGGGAAUAGUGCACAAUGGGCGGAAGCCUGAUGCAGCAACGCCGCGUGCGGGAUGACGGCCUUCGGGUUGUAAACCGCUUUCGCCUGUGACGAAGCGUGAGUGACGGUAAUGGGUAAAGAAGCACCGGCUAACUACGUG
Molecule: ribosomal RNA, 468 nt
Filed under: uncultured bacterium
Lineage: Bacteria
Description: partial 16S ribosomal RNA
Rfam family: Bacterial small subunit ribosomal RNA
Source: RNAcentral